This is a non-coding RNA of Aegilops tauschii subsp. strangulata, 3284 nucleotides long. The record is from RefSeq and is a predicted model, not a curated record. Lineage: Eukaryota; Viridiplantae; Streptophyta; Magnoliopsida; Poales; Poaceae.
CACCACCGGCCAGCUCCACCACUUAUCCAUUGCCGGAGUGGGUCGACGCGUCGCAACUGGCGUUGGGGAAUCCAUUCCCGGCGGCGGCGGCUUCCGGCGAGGAGGCGAGCGAGCUCUGCAAGCUCCGGCGGGGGCUUGUCUCCGACGAGGCGAGGCCAAGGAGGCAGUGCGCGGGCGCAAGGAGGCGGGGUCGAGGAGGCGCAGGAGACGCCGGCCAGUGGCACUCCGGCGGGGGCUUGGCGAGGGCGACAGCGGUCGCGAGGGCUUGGCGGCGGCCAGAGUGCUCGCUUGGGAGGAUGGAGCCGCCUCGCCGGGGCACGGGCGCGGCAGCACGACGUCGGGCCGUUGCCGAUGGCGCCGGGGCCGGGGCGGUGGUCUCACGGGCGACCAGGAGGAGGUGUUGUCCUGGAGCCAGCAACGGCGGCUGCAGCUUGACGAUGCGAGCGUCAAUAGCUUGCUUCAGGGGCUGCGGGCCGUGAGCGGCGCCGUGCUCGCGCACAAGACCCGUGCCUGAUUUGGAUCGGAUUGCAGACCGUGUUCUUGUCGAACACAAUUCAAUGGAGUGCCCAACCCAGAUUGUUGUUUUCUGCUAUAAGAAGGAAGGGUAGUCGGCCGGAAUCUCCAUGAGAUCAAUUUUUGAUUUGGACGAAACAUCCAAUGUCUUCGCCUUGUUCGCUGGAGGAAGAAACGUCGAGUUCGCUGGAGGUACAAGAACAGCCGUCGAGCACUCCAAUGUCGCCAGCGGCGGCUACACCAGAGAAUCAAGACAUGCCUCUAUAAAUGUUUUUUUAAGGCAACUAGCUACUUGGGUUGUGCAAAUCAACAAGUACUCCUACAGAUACCAUCAGAACUAAGGAGACAACUUCCAGUAGACCUGGCCAAUGGAAAUCUCAAAUCUCAUAGCAUGUAAGCUCUCGGUCAGGUAUUCUAUUCGUAACUCAGCGUAUCUUUUUUCAGAAGUUUUAUGUCUAACUCCCAAACAUCUUUUGUCAAGAGUAAGAAUGCAGCUGUUGAGAACUUGACAUAAAUGGUUGCUUGCUGCAAGAAGAGUGGUAUCAUUAUUACCAGAGAAGUAGACGUUGUUUGAAUUAUUCUUUAUUAUUCAUAUCAUGUUAAUAGCUCUCUGCUCUGUUCUUAACUGGGAAUCCUUGCUCCUUGGACCCCUAUCAAUUGUAAAGAAGGUAAUUUAUCAGAAUCUUAUGGUCUUUUAGUUUGUUCUGGGCCUCUGAGGUUCCUUAGUUUCACGUAUGAACGUGAUAUUAGUACGCUCAGUUUCAGUUUUGUGGUUUGAUUUGCUUGCUUGUGUAUAUAUGCAUGUAUACCGUGAGAGAGGGAGAGAUAAUUCUGUUCUAGCAGUCGUAUUUCUGUGACAAAUCUACUUCCCUCCACCCCAUUCUCGAUUGCCUGAAAUCAAAUGCAAAUUGGGAGCGGCAGAGCAAAUGUGAAAAAGUUCAGGGCAGGUGCAUGUUUUUUAGAUUCAGAGGACGUGUAAGCUGGGAGAUGGCUUGCAUGCUUUGUAAGUAUGAUUAAAUGGAUUAGGAACUUGUUUCUGUGUUUGCAACACAAUGCAAUUAUGACAAACUAUAUGUAAUUAAACUAACUGCAUAUAUUUUCUCGGUAUAUUGUGCAAAAUUCAUAGAUUCAUGCUUAAAUGAAGUGCAAUAUUUUCUCGGUGGAAAGAUUUGUGCACGGGGACGGAGGCGAUCAAGGGAAGCAGUCACGAGCGAGGUAUUUGAGGGCUAUGAGCGCCAGUAAUGUGAGGUCUCCGAAGCCUCCACUCUUGAUGGAGGUAUGUGCCCAUCCGGCCCCUGUGCCUAAUUCUGUCAGGGGAUUCCUCCCCCUUUUCGCUGCCAUCAUCAUCAGUAAGACGAAACUGAUAGCAGCGAAAAGGGGGAGAAAUGCACUGAAUCGAGGAGCACAUAGGUAGACCAAAAUUUGUAGACACCACCAGAAAAGCAAAGCCUACUGAACCGAUCGAUGGCGUCCUCUCCAGACAACAUUUGCAAGGUUUGUGUCACAUUUCAGAAGCAGAGAAGUGCCAUGGUCGAUUGUUGCUUGAGGAGAUACGAUUUUUGUCAAGGUUGCCUGAGGAUGUGUGUGCCUUGGAACAAGGCUCUCUUCCAUACAAUCCAAGUUCUUUCACUUACCUUAUUUGCCUCCUAGCACUUUUUUAUGUGAUGUGUGAUUUCCUCCUUUUCAAAGUUAUUAAUGAUCCAGCCUGGCCUAAAAUUGAUUAGACUUAUGGUUGCUUGGUAAUGAUUUUAGUUUGCUAGAAGUUUUUAUGCCUGAAAGAAAGAAAAAUGCAUAUAUGCUAGGAUCAGGAAUUCUUUAAGUUAUCUUAAUAUAUUUCUUUCUGGUUUGAUUUUAGUAUCGUUUUUUUCUUCAUGCAGUUAAUUUGCCGCAUAGGUGUCUUCCGUAAGAUGCUACAAGGAUCACAUAACUUCCUUAACCGAAUACAGCGCCGACGGUGGCAGGACACGCUUUCUACCUGUAGUUCUCCAACUUUGAGGAUGGUGGCCACCUAUUUCUUAACUGUAAACUGAUCAAGCAACGAUGGCGAGCACUGCUGCUUGAGGAUAUCAGACUUAGACUGCUCCAGUGUACAUCUCCCAAAGAAAUUCUGUCUAUAAUCCUUGACCUGCCAGAGGAGAGGAAGCUGUUAUCCAUCGCUUUGCUCUGGUGUUGGUGGACGGAACAGAACAGGGGCAAUCAUGGGGAGCAACGGCUGGAAGUUGAAGCUUUUCGAUACAUUGUCCGUCACCACGCUGAUGAUUGGAAAGAGUUUUUGAGCGCUAAGCCUACUGAACCGAUCGUGCGGUAGCAUAAGUGGGAUAAGCCUCCAAGCAAUAUGGUGAAAAUAAACGUCGAUGCUGCGUUUGCUGAACAAAGAGGAGUUGGAGGCUGGGGCCUAAUCUGCAGAGAUGACGCUCAAGACAUUCGUUUUGCAGCGGCUGGAGCCCAGCAUGAUCUGCAAAGCGCCCUACAAGCUGAAGCUGUUGCUCUUUCCAAGGCAGUGACUCUGGCGGAUAGGUUAGGAGUUGGGCGCGUCAUUUUUGAAACUGACUGUAUGGUCCUUAAGCAAGCAAUGAACUCAAACGACUAUGAGUUGGCGCAACUGGGUGUUUUGUUUAGUGAUAUCAGGUUCAGACUUAGGACCCAUUUCAUUGAGGCUCAUGUGGUGUAUGUGCCGAGAUAGUGUAAUGGAUCAAGGACCAGCACAUGUGCUAGCGUCCUUAGUGUUAGAAUUAAUGGGCUAGGCCCAUAGCAAUUUCUGAAAUCUCAAA